Homo sapiens (human) is the source of this 67-nucleotide microRNA precursor. NCBI's taxonomy places the organism in Eukaryota, Metazoa, Chordata, Mammalia, Primates, Hominidae. The record is from Ensembl.
UGUGCAAAAGUAAUUGUGGUUUUUGUCAUUUAAAAGUAAUGGCAAAAACUGCAAUUACUUUCACACC